Molecule: ribosomal RNA, 433 nt
Filed under: uncultured bacterium
Lineage: Bacteria
Description: partial 16S ribosomal RNA
Rfam family: Bacterial small subunit ribosomal RNA
Source: RNAcentral
AACGAACGCUGGCGGCAUGCCUAACACAUGCAAGUCGAACGAGACCUUCGGGUCUAGUGGCGCACGGGUGCGUAACGCGUGGGAACCUGCCCUUAGGUUCGGAAUAACUCCCCGAAAGGGGUGCUAAUACCGGAUAAUGUCUUCGGACCAAAGAUUUAUCGCCUUUGGUUGGGCCCGCGUUGGAUUAGCUAGUUGGUAGGGUAAAAGCCUACCAAGGCGACGAUCCAUAGCUGGUCUGAGAGGAUGAUCAGCCACACUGGGACUGAGACACGGCCCAGACUCCUACGGGAGGUAGCAGUGGGGAAUAUUGGACAAUGGGCGAAAGCCUGAUCCAGCAAUGCCGCGUGAGUGAUGAAGGCCUUAGGGUUGUAAAGCUCUUUUACCCGGGAUGAUAAUGACAGUACCGGGAGAAUAAGCUCCGGCUAACUCCGUG